Molecule: ribosomal RNA, 471 nt
Filed under: uncultured bacterium
Lineage: Bacteria
Description: bacterial SSU rRNA
Rfam family: Bacterial small subunit ribosomal RNA
Source: RNAcentral
UUGAAACUGAAGAACUUGAAUAUAGUUGAGGUAGGCGGAAUGUGCAGUGUAGCGGUGAAAUGCUUAGAUAUUGCACAGAACACCGAUUGCGAAGGCAGCUUACCAAGCUAUUAUUGACGCUGAGGCACGAAAGCGUGGGGAUCGAACAGGAUUAGAUACCCUGGUAGUCCACGCCUUAAACGAUGUUCACUCGCUGUUUGCGAUAUACCGUAAGCGGCCAAGCGAAAGCAUUAAGUGAACCACCUGGGGAGUACGUCGGCAACGGUGAAACUCAAAGGAAUUGACGGGGGCCCGCACAAGCGGAGGAACAUGUGGUUUAAUUCGAUGAUACGCGAGGAACCUUACCUGGGCUUAAAUGUAGGCUGCAUUCCGCUGAAAGGUGGAUUUCCGCAAGGACUGCUUACAAGGUGCUGCAUGGUUGUCGUCAGCUCGUGCCGUGAGGUGUCGGGUUAAGUCCCAUAACGAGCGCAA